This is a long non-coding RNA of Oncorhynchus tshawytscha (Chinook salmon), 1519 nucleotides long. The record is from Ensembl. Lineage: Eukaryota; Metazoa; Chordata; Actinopteri; Salmoniformes; Salmonidae.
GGCUGUGGUAAGACUGUGGGGGAGUAGGGGUGGAUACUAAGGGUGUUUGGUGGAGUGGAGGAUGGGGAAGGCUUGAUGCAGUAAGGGUAUAUUCUGAGUUCAGCUACAUUCUACAGUAGGUUACUCUCCCAUGGUACAGUAGGUUACUCUCCCAUAUGGCUAAGUUGAUUGUUCAUCUACAGUAGGUUACUCUCCCAUAUGGCUGAGUUGACUGUUCAGCUACUGUAGGUUAUUCCCCAAUAUGGCUGAGUUGACUGUUCAGCUACUGGAGGUUACUCUCCCAUGCUAGUGUAGGUUACUCUCCCAUCCUACUGUAGGUUACUCUCCUAUGCUACUGUAGGUUACUAUCCCAUGAUACAGUAGGUUACUCUACCAUGCAACUGUAGGUUACUCUUCCAUGCUACUGUAGGUUACUCGCCCAUGCUACUGUAGGUUACUCUCCCAUGAUACUGUAGGUUACUCUCCCAUGCUACUGUAGGUAACUCAUCCAUGCUACUGUAGGUUACUCUCCCAUGAUACUGUAGGUUACUCGCCCAUGCUACUGUAGGUUACUCUCCCAGGCUACUGUUGGUUACUCUCCCAUGUUACUGUAGGUUACUCUCCCAUGUUACUGUAGGUUACUCUCCCAUGCUAUUGUAGGUUACUCUCCCAUGCUACUGUAGUUUACUCACCCAUGCUACUGUAGGUUACUCAUCCAUGCUACCCAUGCUACUGUAGGUUACUCAUCCAUGCUACUGUAGGUUACUCAUCCAUGCUACUGUAGGUUACUCUCCCAUGUUACUGUAGGUUACUCUCCCAUUCUACUGUAGGUUACUCUUCCAUGCUACUGUAGGCUACUCUCCUAUUCUACUGUAGGUUACUCUUCCAUGCUACUGUAGGUUACUCGCCCAUGCUUCUGUAGGUUACUCUCCCAUGCAACUGUAGGUUACUAUCUCAUGCUACUGUAGGUUACUCGCCCAUGCUACUUACUGUAUAUUACUUUCCCAUUCUACUGUAGGUUACUCUCCCAUGCUACUGUAGGUUAGUCUCCCCUGCUACUGUAGGUUACUCUCCCAUGCUACUUACUGUAUAUUACUUUCCCAUUCUACUGUAGGUUACUCUCCCAUGCUACUGUAGGUUAGUCUCCCCUGCUACUGUAGGUUACUCUCCCAUGCUACUGUAGGUUACUCUCCCAUGCUACUGUAGGUUUCUCUCCCAUGCUACUUACUGUAUAUUACUUUCCCAUUCUACUGUAGGUUACUCUCCCAUGCUACUUACUGUAGGUUACUCUCCCAUGUUACUGUAGGUUACUCUGCCAUUAUACUGGAGGUUACUCUCCCAUGCUACUUACUGUAGGUUACUCUCCCAUGUUACUGUAGGUUACUCUCCCAUGCUACUGUAGGUUACUCUCCCAUGCUACUUACUGUAGGUUACUCUCCCAUGUUACUGUAGGUUACUCUCCCAUGCUACUGUAGGUUACUCUCCCAUGCUACUUACUGUAGGUUACUCUCCCAUGCUACUUACUGUAGGUUACUCUCCC